This 254-nucleotide ribosomal RNA is filed under the name uncultured bacterium. RNAcentral's name for it is "partial 16S ribosomal RNA". It matches the Rfam family "Bacterial small subunit ribosomal RNA", at positions 524 to 776 of the family's 1533-position model. The record is from RNAcentral.
UACGGGGGGGGCUAGCGUUGUUCGGAAUUACUGGGCGUAAAGGGCGCGUAGGCGGUCGUGACAAGUCACUUGUGAAAUCUCCGGGCUUAACUCGGAACGGUCAAGUGAUACUGUCGGACUAGAGUACAGAAGGGGCAACUGGAAUUCUCGGUGUAGCGGUGAAAUGCGUAGAUAUCGAGAGGAACACCUGCGGCGAAGGCGGGUUGCUGGGCUGAUACUGACGCUGAGGCGCGAAAGCGUGGGGAGCGAACAGG